CCUUUGUCAUUACUUAACACCCGGACAGGAUCCAACUGGCUCACUUAUUAAUCCCUCUUCACUCACUCUGACAUGAAUGAUCUGCUUCAGGCUGUCAGUUCUCUAUUCUCAGUUUGGAUGGUUUCAAACGUACCAGACAUGUGGUCUGUACAGUAUUAAUCAGGCAAAUUGUGAGUAUGUAGGAUUGGACUGAAAUGCUGAAUGUGUGAGUCAGUUAUGACAAGAAUUUGCAGAGUCAUGUUCAGACAGACAGCUUGAGCUCCUGGGAAACAAAUGAACAAACAAAAACAAAACAACAACAAACCAACGAGCGAGGCCACUCACACCUGGAUAGAGAGAUGAAGCUUGAAGUGGAAACUUGGAGCAAAUUGCACCAUGACAGCUACAUACAGAGAAAGAGCUUGCAUGUUUGGAAUCACAGAAAAGAAACAUGCUGUGUCUUGAAAGGUUCAGUACUGACUGUGUGCAAUGCAUGUGAAGCACCUGCACCAAGUCAUGGAGCCGAUUACAAAUGUGCUGACUUCAGAGGCUUUGGGACAGUUUCAGAGAGUUGAAGUCAUUCCUUUAUGUUUCUGCAACGUUCAGAAGAGCAAGGAGGGAGCUGUGAGUCAUGCAUAAUGAAUUCCUGGUACAGAGCAGGACUCCAAGGUGGAAUGCUCUCAAAGGCCCUUCUAAGGAUCAUUACUGCUGCACAUUUUACUGAAGUCCAAAAGGAAGGAGUGGAAGUCAGAAGCCAAAGUGAUUCUGCUAGUGUCUGCAGAUGUUUCUACAAGAAUAAGAGAAAGUGCCAGAGAGGCAGCGGUGGAAACAAGGAAGAGUACGUCUGGCUUUCUGAAGGGAAUCUUUGUUUUUUCUUCAAUAAUUAUUUGCAUAAGUGCCGGCCUCAGAGUGGGUUUAAUGCCUUAAAACAGAAUUUCAGGUGA
Molecule: long non-coding RNA, 923 nt
Filed under: Coturnix japonica (Japanese quail)
Lineage: Eukaryota; Metazoa; Chordata; Aves; Galliformes; Phasianidae
Description: lncRNA (ENSCJPG00005003321.1)
Source: RNAcentral